GACGAACGCUGGCGGCGUGCCUAAUACAUGCAAGUCGAACGAACUCUGGUAUUGAUUGGUGCUUGCAUCAUGAUUUACAUUUGUGUGAGUGGCGAACUGGUGAGUAACACGUGGGAAACCUGCCCAGAAGCGGGGGAUAACACCUGGAAACAGAUGCUAAUACCGCAUAACAACUUGGACCGCAUGGUCCGAGCUUGAAAGAUGGCUUCGGCUAUCACUUUUGGAUGGUCCCGCGGCGUAUUAGCUAGAUGGUGGGGUAACGGCUCACCAUGGCAAUGAUACGUAGCCGACCUGAGAGGGUAAUCGGCCACAUUGGGACUGAGACACGGCCCAAACUCCUACGGGAGGCAGCAGUAGGGAAUCUUCCACAAUGGACGAAAGUCUGAUGGAGCAACGCCGCGUGAGUGAAGAAGGGUUUCGGCUCGUAAAACUCUGUUGUUAAAGAAGAACAUAUCUGAGAGUAACUGUUCAGGUAUUGACGGUAUUUAACCAGAAAGCCACGGCUAACUACGUGCCAGCAGCCGCGGUAAUACGUAGGUGGCAAGCGUUGUCCGGAUUUAUUGGGCGUAAAGCGAGCGCAGGCGGUUUUUUAAGUCUGAUGUGAAAGCCUUCGGCUCAACCGAAGAAGUGCAUCGGAAACUGGGAAACUUGAGUGCAGAAGAGGACAGUGGAACUCCAUGUGUAGCGGUGAAAUGCGUAGAUAUAUGGAAGAGCACCAGUGGCGAAGGCGGCUGUCUGGUCUGUAACUGACGCUGAGGCUCGAAAGUAUGGGUAGCAAACAGGAUUAGAUACCCUGGUAGUCCAUACCGUAAACGAUGAAUGCUAAGUGUUGGAGGGUUUCCGCCUUUCAGUGCUGCAGCUAACGCAUUAAGCAUUCCGCCUGGGGAGUACGGCCGCAAGGCUGAAACUCAAAGGAAUUGACGGGGGCCCGCACAAGCGGUGGAGCAUGUGGUUUAAUUCGAAGCUACGCGAAGAACCUUACCAGGUCUUGACAUACUAUGCAAAUCUAAGAGAUUAGACGUUCCCUUCGGGGACAUGGAUACAGGUGGUGCAUGGUUGUCGUCAGCUCGUGUCGUGAGAUGUUGGGUUAAGUCCCGCAACGAGCGCAACCCUUAUUAUCAGUUGCCAGCAUUAAGUUGGGCACUCUGGUGAGACUGCCGGUGACAAACCGGAGGAAGGUGGGGAUGACGUCAAAUCAUCAUGCCCCUUAUGACCUGGGCUACACACGUGCUACAAUGGAUGGUACAACGAGUUGCGAACUCGCGAGAGUAAGCUAAUCUCUUAAAGCCAUUCUCAGUUCGGAUUGUAGGCUGCAACUCGCCUACAUGAAGUCGGAAUCGCUAGUAAUCGCGGAUCAGCAUGCCGCGGUGAAUACGUUCCCGGGCCUUGUACACACCGCCCGUCACACCAUGAGAGUUUGUAACACCCAAAGUCGGUGGGGUAACCUUUUAGGAACCAGCCGCCUAAGGUGGGACAGAUGAUUAGGGUG
This 1489-nucleotide ribosomal RNA is filed under the name Lactiplantibacillus argentoratensis. Its description in RNAcentral is "bacterial SSU rRNA". It matches the Rfam family "Bacterial small subunit ribosomal RNA". The record is from RNAcentral. Lineage: Bacteria; Bacillati; Bacillota; Bacilli; Lactobacillales; Lactobacillaceae.